RNAcentral lists this ribosomal RNA (1003 nucleotides) under Burkholderia vietnamiensis. RNAcentral describes it as "bacterial SSU rRNA". It matches the Rfam family "Bacterial small subunit ribosomal RNA", at positions 1 to 998 of the family's 1533-position model. The record is from RNAcentral. Lineage: Bacteria; Pseudomonadati; Pseudomonadota; Betaproteobacteria; Burkholderiales; Burkholderiaceae.
AAACUGAAGAGUUUGAUCCUGGCUCAGAUUGAACGCUGGCGGCAUGCCUUACACAUGCAAGUCGAACGGCAGCACGGGUGCUUGCACCUGGUGGCGAGUGGCGAACGGGUGAGUAAUACAUCGGAACAUGUCCUGUAGUGGGGGAUAGCCCGGCGAAAGCCGGAUUAAUACCGCAUACGAUCUAUGGAUGAAAGCGGGGGACCUUCGGGCCUCGCGCUAUAGGGUUGGCCGAUGGCUGAUUAGCUAGUUGGUGGGGUAAAGGCCUACCAAGGCGACGAUCAGUAGCUGGUCUGAGAGGACGACCAGCCACACUGGGACUGAGACACGGCCCAGACUCCUACGGGAGGCAGCAGUGGGGAAUUUUGGACAAUGGGCGAAAGCCUGAUCCAGCAAUGCCGCGUGUGUGAAGAAGGCCUUCGGGUUGUAAAGCACUUUUGUCCGGAAAGAAAUCCUUGGCUCUAAUACAGUCGGGGGAUGACGGUACCGGAAGAAUAAGCACCGGCUAACUACGUGCCAGCAGCCGCGGUAAUACGUAGGGUGCAAGCGUUAAUCGGAAUUACUGGGCGUAAAGCGUGCGCAGGCGGUUUGCUAAGACCGAUGUGAAAUCCCCGGGCUCAACCUGGGAACUGCAUUGGUGACUGGCAGGCUAGAGUAUGGCAGAGGGGGGUAGAAUUCCACGUGUAGCAGUGAAAUGCGUAGAGAUGUGGAGGAAUACCGAUGGCGAAGGCAGCCCCCUGGGCCAAUACUGACGCUCAUGCACGAAAGCGUGGGGAGCAAACAGGAUUAGAUACCCUGGUAGUCCACGCCCUAAACGAUGUCAACUAGUUGUUGGGGAUUCAUUUCCUUAGUAACGUAGCUAACGCGUGAAGUUGACCGCCUGGGGAGUACGGUCGCAAGAUUAAAACUCAAAGGAAUUGACGGGGACCCGCACAAGCGGUGGAUGAUGUGGAUUAAUUCGAUGCAACGCGAAAAACCUUACCUACCCUUGACAUGGUCGGAAUCC